UUGUUUUCAAGCUUGAGCCUAAGAUAGUGAUUAUUGAGCUAAAUCUAUCCUAUUCAAUAUUACAUAAUGAGAUUCUUUCUAUACAUUUCUUUCUAUUUUCUUUUUCUUUCACUGAUCCCCAGCUAACAAUAUCGUAGGUGGUCGGGGUUUAACCUCAAGGAACCGUAAAAGAUACAUUGUUUCAAUCAGAUCUCGAGAUACCAGUGCGUCCCCUACCAUGUUCCUUCUCUUCCUCUUUUUUCUUUCAUUUUUUUGACCUGUUCUUCUCUAUUUUCAGGUGGAAUUGAGAGUGUGGCAGGCUCAAUUCUUCUGCAUCUUCAACUGGUGAUUCAUGACAGUGCAA
RNAcentral lists this long non-coding RNA (343 nucleotides) under Capsicum annuum. RNAcentral's name for it is "long non-coding RNA (CANN_LNC004495)". The record is from RNAcentral. Lineage: Eukaryota; Viridiplantae; Streptophyta; Magnoliopsida; Solanales; Solanaceae.